Molecule: long non-coding RNA, 651 nt
Filed under: Sus scrofa (pig)
Lineage: Eukaryota; Metazoa; Chordata; Mammalia; Artiodactyla; Suidae
Description: lncRNA (ENSSSCG00050073091.1)
Source: RNAcentral
GCUAGCAGUUCUCUCAGACGCUUCCUGUCUCUCUUCAGAGAAGGUGUGAGUAGAAGAAAGCAAAGUAGAGCCAUGACCUCCCCACCAGAUGGCUGGCUGAGCUCCCUCUCAUGCCAUUUGUCCUUCUGGACAUUUGUAGACCUGGAAGAUGCAUGCUUAGGGAUGGAGGGAACUCUGCCUCAAACUACAAUCUAUUGUGGGCUCACAACUACUAAACUGAUGAACUUCAGUUCUCUCAUCAAAGAUUGAAAUGGUAUCCGAGAAGGUGACCUCAAAACAGAGUUAAUUCUUCUGGAAGCAGGCUGACACAUUUUCUAAGAUUCUAGGACAAAGGGACAGUCAAGUAUGAAGUUUCUGAAUGGCCUAUUCCAGGAUCUAAAAUAUAAAACCAUUUCGGAACGAGUCACUUACCUGCAACCCAAGACAGAAAACCAUCUUUGCAGGAAUGAGAAAGAGCUUAAUGAUGCAGCAGGAGAAAAAGAAAGCCUGCAAGCAUGGACACCAACUCUACAGGGAUCCUUGGUCUUGGGUGCAAAAGGAUUCAUGGACAGAAUUCUGGAUUGGAAAAUGGAGGAUGUACAAAGAUUUGGGUCAGAAAAGGUAACAUUUUUGUUUCAAUAAUCUCUAAUUGAAAUGUAUGACAAAUACUGC